GGGGGCGAAAUAGGUUCGACGGGGGGUGUAAAGGAUGACCUUUCGCUCGGCAUGGUUCCGCCGUCAUCGGGCCGAUUUUAUAGUUGCCAACGACAACUAUGCUCCGGUGGCCGUUGCCGCGUAAUGCGGUAAUAGUACCGAUUCAAAGCCCUUGUGGGUAGCACUUCAAGGCGGGGUUCGGAGGCACCUGGCAACAGAAGCCUCCACU
This 208-nucleotide transfer-messenger RNA is filed under the name Beijerinckia indica subsp. indica ATCC 9039. RNAcentral describes it as "transfer-messenger RNA Beije_indic_9039". It matches the Rfam family "Alphaproteobacteria transfer-messenger RNA", at positions 148 to 355 of the family's 355-position model. Rfam says of the family: Bacterial tmRNA, also known as 10Sa RNA or SsrA, is named for its dual tRNA and mRNA-like properties. Its role is to liberate the mRNA from a stalled ribosome. Lineage: Bacteria; Pseudomonadati; Pseudomonadota; Alphaproteobacteria; Hyphomicrobiales; Beijerinckiaceae. The record is from RNAcentral.